This 253-nucleotide ribosomal RNA is filed under the name uncultured bacterium. RNAcentral describes it as "partial 16S ribosomal RNA". It matches the Rfam family "Bacterial small subunit ribosomal RNA", at positions 524 to 776 of the family's 1533-position model. The record is from RNAcentral.
UACAGAGGGUGCGAGCGUUAAUCGGAAUUACUGGGCGUAAAGCGCGCGUAGACGGUUUUGUACGUCAGAUGUGAAAUCCCUGGGCUCAACCUGGGAACUGCAUUUGAGACUGCAUGGCUAGAGUAUGGAAGAGGGAAGUGGAAUUUCCGGUGUAGCGGUGAAAUGCGUAGAUAUCGGAAGGAACAUCAGUGGCGAAAGCGGCUUCCUGGACCAGUACCGACGUUCAGGCACGAAAGCGUGGGGAGCAAACAGG